AGAUUUCCCCAUCCCCUCCUGAUAACAUGCACUUUGGAAGGUACGCAGGGCUGGGCCUGGUUAGUACUUGGAUGGCAGACCAGCUCGGAAUACCAGAGAUCUC
This 103-nucleotide ribosomal RNA is filed under the name Pogona vitticeps (central bearded dragon). The record is from RNAcentral. Lineage: Eukaryota; Metazoa; Chordata; Lepidosauria; Squamata; Agamidae.